RNAcentral lists this ribosomal RNA (436 nucleotides) under Escherichia coli. RNAcentral describes it as "partial 23S ribosomal RNA". It matches the Rfam family "Bacterial large subunit ribosomal RNA", at positions 609 to 1045 of the family's 2925-position model. Lineage: Bacteria; Pseudomonadati; Pseudomonadota; Gammaproteobacteria; Enterobacterales; Enterobacteriaceae. The record is from RNAcentral.
UGUAUAAUGGGUCAGCGACUUAUAUUCUGUAGCAAGGUUAACCGAAUAGGGGAGCCGAAGGGAAACCGAGUCUUAACUGGGCGUUAAGUUGCAGGGUAUAGACCCGAAACCCGGUGAUCUAGCCAUGGGCAGGUUGAAGGUUGGGUAACACUAACUGGAGGACCGAACCGACUAAUGUUGAAAAAUUAGCGGAUGACUUGUGGCUGGGGGUGAAAGGCCAAUCAAACCGGGAGAUAGCUGGUUCUCCCCGAAAGCUAUUUAGGUAGCGCCUCGUGAAUUCAUCUCCGGGGGUAGAGCACUGUUUCGGCAAGGGGGUCAUCCCGACUUACCAACCCGAUGCAAACUGCGAAUACCGGAGAAUGUUAUCACGGGAGACACACGGCGGGUGCUAACGUCCGUCGUGAAGAGGGAAACAACCCAGACCGCCAGCUAAGGU